GAGGUACUCUCUCUGUCCAAAAAAGCUUGUUCCUCAAAUGGAUGAAUCUAGCACCAAGUUAGUGCUAGAUACAUCCAUUUGAGAGAUAACCUUGGGACAAGUUUUUUCGGACGGAAGGAGUAUGUU
This is a non-coding RNA of Triticum aestivum (bread wheat), 126 nucleotides long. Lineage: Eukaryota; Viridiplantae; Streptophyta; Magnoliopsida; Poales; Poaceae. The record is from Rfam.